UACGGGGGGGGCAAGCGUUGUUCGGAAUUACUGGGCGUAAAGGGCUCGUAGGCGGCCAACUAAGUCGGAUGUGAAAUCCCCAGGCUCAACCUGGGAACUGCAUCCGAUACUGGAUGGCUUGAAUUCGGGAGAGGGAUGCAGAAUUCCAGGUGUAGCGGUGAAAUGCGUAGAUAUCUGGAGGAAUACCGGUGGCGGAGGCGGCAUCCUGGACCGACAUUGACGCUGAGGAGCGAAAGCUAGGGGAGCAAACGGG
RNAcentral lists this ribosomal RNA (253 nucleotides) under uncultured bacterium. Its description in RNAcentral is "partial 16S ribosomal RNA". It matches the Rfam family "Bacterial small subunit ribosomal RNA", at positions 524 to 776 of the family's 1533-position model. The record is from RNAcentral.